Molecule: ribosomal RNA, 482 nt
Filed under: uncultured bacterium
Lineage: Bacteria
Description: SSU rRNA
Rfam family: Bacterial small subunit ribosomal RNA
Source: RNAcentral
AGAAUGAACGCUGGCGGCGUGCUUAACACAUGCAAGUCGAACGGAAUCCAAGGAGCUUGCUCUGGAAGAUUUAGUGGCGAACGGGUGAGUAUCACGUGAGCAACCUGCCCCGAAGACUGGGAUAACACCGGGAAACCGGUGCUAAUACCGGAUACCUUCCAAUGACCGCAUGGUCGAUGGAAGAAAUGUUUUUCGCUUCGGGAGGGGCUCGCGGUCCAUCAGCUUGUUGGCGGGGUAACGGCCCACCAAGGCUUCGACGGAUAGCUGGUCUGAGAGGACGAUCAGCCACACUGGAACUGAGACACGGUCCAGACUCCUACGGGAGGCAGCAGUGGGGAAUCUUGCGCAAUGGACGAAAGUCUGACGCAGCAACGCCGCGUGAGGGACGAAGGUUUUCUGAAUUGUAAACCUCUUUCGACAGGGACGAUAAUGACGGUACCUGUAGAAGAAGCACCGGCCAGCUAUGCGCCAGCAGCCGCGGU